UUGCCAGCCUCCAGUGUGCUUGGGUCUGCAGUGACCCUGUGCAUUCCUACAGUGCUUGCGAGAACAGUUUUGAAAUGGUUUGAUGCCUUGCUCUGCUCCAUCUACAGAGAAAGGUAAUAGAAAUUCAGACAGUG
Small nucleolar RNA from Dasypus novemcinctus (nine-banded armadillo), 134 nucleotides. NCBI's taxonomy places the organism in Eukaryota, Metazoa, Chordata, Mammalia, Cingulata, Dasypodidae. The record is from Ensembl.